This 4255-nucleotide long non-coding RNA is filed under the name Canis lupus familiaris (dog). RNAcentral describes it as "lncRNA (ENSCAFG00845003659.1)". Lineage: Eukaryota; Metazoa; Chordata; Mammalia; Carnivora; Canidae. The record is from RNAcentral.
GACAUUUCACUUUAUUUAAAAGAAGCCAAUAUACAGGAUAUAAAGGGCAUGAUAUUUACAACAGUACAGUAAACAGGUUGGUUUCCGGUAGGAUCAGUAGUCUUUCAAUGAGUAUAAACCCUCCCCCUUUCCCCUUGACACUAGACCCAAUGGGCAGACAAACAGCAACAGUGGGGUGGGAUGGGACUGCGGGAUACAAAGUCUCCCUGGAUGGGGCUAAAAAUCAGGUAGAUGCUAAAAUGUCCACGAAGGGGUCUUGCUGGGGGUGGGGAUGGUGCCUGGCUUCGUUUCUUUGAGGGCCGGGCAGUGGGAAUGGUGGGGGAUUCGCCCAAGACUAACACACAGGCCACCCCGAACCUGGAAAUCCUCCACCCAAAGGGAAGCUCCCUUUCAGAGAGAAUUUGCCUUGACCCAUACCCACCCAGCUGCCCCCAGACUCCCCCGUGCCAGGAGGAUGCCCUUCUAGAACCAGAGCUCGGUGUGCCGAGAUGGUCAACCCGGGUCUGAGGAAGCCCCAGGUGCCCAGUCCCUGCCCCAGGCCCUGGAGGAGCACACCAAGGGCUGCAGCCCGGACCUCGGCCUGGAGCAAGCACAGCUGGGGCUGGGUGAUGGGCGUCUCCUGGAGCACUCCCAUUCCUGCUCCAGCUGCCUGACAGCCUGGGACCCCGCAGCCUGGGACCCUGUAGGGCCCAGGCCCCAAGGGAGCCGCAUACUCCCUGAACCAACAGUCUCAUGGCCACCCACAGUCCGCUGCUUCUCAGCCUCCCCCAGACACAGCCAACUCGGAAAUGGAUCUUGGCAGACCAGAGCCCACCCUCUGAAGCAGAGCUCAUCCCCCACCCGGUGCCCCAUCUCCCAUCCUCCACCCCCCUCCCCGACCUUGAUUCUGAAUCCCUCACCACCCACCCACUCCCCCGAGUUACCCCCCCCAUCAAAGACUUUCAAGGACCAAGGAGCUGGGGGGGGUGGUGGUGGAGGAACAAGAAAGUGGGGUGAGGUGGGACCUAGGCUCUGCCGAAGCCGCUCAUGGGUGCAGGUGACCUGGCAGUGAGGCCAGGGGGACGGGAGGGGCACUGGUUAUAUUCAGUCCAGCAGCAACAUGCAUCUUGUUCACAGGAGAACGCGGGGCUACCGUAACUGCCUACCCUAGAUUUAAAAACCCUUUCCUUUCAUAAAAAUAGAUGAGAAUCUCUUGCUUUAUAAAUAGAUUACAUUUAGCUUAAGUUACACCAUACAGUACCUGCCACCCCACACCCUCUCCCCCAUUCCAAGCCAAAGUGGUUUGCUUCUCUGUAGGUCAGAGCUCAGUCCGCGAUGGGCUGGCCCUUCGGAGACCUCAAGGUAUAUUGCUACAAGAAAACAAGAGGUGUUCACUUGCCAAUGAUUUUUUUUUUCCCCUGUUUGGAGUCUCAGAGGUGCGUGCGCGCGUGCGUGCGUGCGCGUGUGUGUGAUCCACAACCAGGGAGGUGAAAGGAAGCUACUUCUCCCUGCCUCUCCCCAAUCCUCUCUUUUUAUAAAACCCCCCAAAAUAGGAGAGUGAGAGAGGGCAGCGCAGGAGAGCCCAUCUGAGAACGACCUUAAAAUACCAAUGUCAAUAUGACACUGGGCUUAGAAAUAGAAAUUUGAGUAUUUACAGCUUUACAAAGGACGGACCAGUUCUUCCCAACUGGACCUGGUGCUGCCCCAGCGAGCGUUGGGGGCUUUCUUGGCAAGCUGUGGGCUCAUGGCGAGGGCACAAGCAGGGCCCACUGGCAACAAACUCAAAAAAAAGAACUUGGUGGGGAGAAAGGCAGCCAGGCCCAGACCUGGGCUCCCCGCCUCCCACCACUAGCCCCUGCCCAGGAGGCAGGUCUGCUGCACGCCCAUCCACCUGCCCCAAAUCCCUGCUCCCCAGGGGAGCACAGCUAUAGGAAAGCAGCAGGAAGGGGCUGCAUGGCCAGCGUCCAUCUGGCUCCUGCCACUUCCAGACUCCCUGGACAAACUAGAGCACCCUAGUCCCCGAGACAAACAUCCUAUGUACACGAAGGGGGAAGCAUAAAUAAUACCACCGGACACCGACUGCCACGGUCACCUGGGUUAUUACCCCCCCCCCCCCAAUACUUACACUGUCGCCUUAUGUCUUAACACUAAAGAUAGGUCUGUCACCCUCCCCACCACCUUGAGAACCACCCCGGGGCCGGCCUCUGCUCUGCCUCCCACACCACACCUUCAAUCACACCCUCCCCCCCAGCCCUGGACAGAGGAAGCCCGAGGGGUUCCUCCCAGAAACGGAAAAUCUUUCCAGCAGCUGAGGUCCAAGCUUUUUUUUUCUUUUUCCCCCCGCUUUUAAUUUUUCUGGGCUCUGAUCAACACUUUGGUUUAAAAUGAAACUAAAACGAAAACAACAAUAACGCUAAUGACAAGAAUAGUCAGCUACGUUUGAACCCUGUAACCUUUAGAAGAAGGGUCAGUGAGGAGGAGGGGAAGGGGCUGGCUCUCCUCUGAAGCCACCGUCCCUCCACGUACCUGCCCAGGGACUGUCUGGCUGCCAGACUGCCACAGGGAACCAGCAGGUUCCCUCAACACCACCACCAGAAAUAAAAAGGAAACAAACUCACAAUAAAGGCCACCAAGUGCUGAUAAAUAAAAAUCACAUACAGUCACUAACACACGCACGCUCUCUCUCCAUAUAUAUAUAUAUAUGGAUACUAUAUAUAUAUAAUAUACACAUCGUAUUAUAUAUAUAUAAUAUGAAUAUUAUGUACAAUGGUCUUAAGACUGCAAAACAGGUGGGGAAACGGAAGAGAGAGAAGGCCCUUACAGGUCGCUGGUACCCUGAGGAAGAAAGACAGGGGGCUGCAAUCUGAUGGAAAGCCAGAGCCCCCCAUCCUCUGCCUUCCGCAGGAGAGCAGGAGGUGGGAAGUUCUGGGAAGUUCUGGUCCUCGGGCACGUGUCCCUUCUUUGACCUCCAGGGGGCGCUCCUGGGCCAGUCAAGAAACAAAAAUGGGCAAUCCCACCCACAGGAGUGGGUACAGAAAAAAAUCAUUAAAAAAAAAAAAAAAAAAAAAAGCAAAACCCGCUCGGCUAGCUCCAAGCUGAGAUUUGGCAGGUGGCCUCAACCCAGUGCCUUGUGACACAGGCCCACCUAAGUCUUGGGGAGAUACUGGCUCAGAUGAACUCCCCACUGGUCGGUCAAUCAAGUGAAGUAAUGGAAACAGGCUUGCAUGUGUCCAUGAGAACAAAGGAUGGCUCUCACUCCAGCUCGGCUCCUGCCACACCUCUGAUCCGCCGGCCCUCGCUGCCCCCCACGGCUCCCCUUCCCUCUCCAGGGCCUGCCAGUGGCCCAACGGUGGGCGACCCCAUGAAGACGGCGGCAGGCAGUGGAAACCCAGCUCUGCUGUGGAGGGGGUGGACGCCAGGCCUAGCCCCCUUCAGACUUUCUCACAGAGAAAUUACAGAUCUCUAGCCCCUUAUCACUGGCUGGGAAGGGAGAGAAAGAAACAUCAAGUCAUCAGGGCACUAAAAGACCCCUCCCACCGCACAGAGGUCCCCAGAAAGCAAGCAGUCCGGUGAGCCAUGGCCUUGCAGGCUUCCCCCACCCCCAGCCUCACCAUCGACCUUGACAAACGGCCCCCUUCCAGCGGGUGCUCACCCUCGGGGGGCUGCCUCGGCCUCCCUCCCAGCUCCAGGGCAACACCAGGAGUCUGGGCCGAGGGCCGACCUUACACAAUGAUAUAAGGCAAGCUGCUUUUUUUGUUUGUUUGUUUUGUGGGUUGUUUUUUUUGUUUUUUUGUUUUUUUGUUUUUUUUUUUUUGCAUAGUAGUUUAAACACAGUGAGAUUCCACUUUCCCCCACGGUGCCUUGUCCCUCCGCUUCGCCACUCGAUCCAAAAAAGAAAAUAAAAUUUUGUCUGCCCUCCCUCCUUCCAUCUUUUCUCUCAGUCAGUAAGUAAGUAAAAAAACACUUGGGGUGGGGGGUGGGGGUCGGGGUAACCCCACACACACACCGCCCAGGCCUGGAAAGGUUGCACAGGCAAACAGCUCCUUCCUGGGGUGCGGGUGGUGGGGGGUAGUGGACCACCCCAAGGUCAGCACUGGCCAGGCAGAGGCGGGGAGGGCAGAGCUCAUGGCCAAUCAGAGGAGCAGGUGGGAGGGUAGACAUCCACAUGAUCCCACGCCAGGGGCCCCGCCCUCACCUUAGAGUUUUGUAUAAAAACACCUGCUAGGAAGAAUUCUUUGGAGCUCAAAGUGGCUCAGCUUAAGGGAAAAGGCACAGU